Molecule: non-coding RNA, 309 nt
Organism: Pelobates cultripes (western spadefoot toad)
Lineage: Eukaryota; Metazoa; Chordata; Amphibia; Anura; Pelobatidae
Source: the annotation of a GenBank genome assembly
AGUUGUGAGGAGUCUCGCUACACUAUAUGUUCUUGGUUAUGCAUUCUGAUUGGUUGAUUUUUUUUUAAUCCACAUUGUUUAACUGUUUUUGCUUCUGGGAGGUUCAGUAAAGAAGGAUAAAGCAAAUAGUUGCCGCCUAUCUUUCAUGAAAUGUAAAAUAUUUAGUCACUAAGCUAGAAUAAUCCCUAAAUGGUGCCCACGUGCAGGCGCGCACCAGCUCGUGCAUGCACCCUCACCAUUGCUAACAGAAGAAGGCUGCAAACCGCCCUGGCUGUUUGACAGUUGGAGGGGUUCUUAGUUAAUUUAUAA